RNAcentral lists this ribosomal RNA (253 nucleotides) under uncultured bacterium. RNAcentral's name for it is "partial 16S ribosomal RNA". It matches the Rfam family "Bacterial small subunit ribosomal RNA", at positions 524 to 776 of the family's 1533-position model. The record is from RNAcentral.
UACGUAGGGUGCAAGCGUUGUCCGGAAUUAUUGGGCGUAAAGAGCUCGUAGGCGGUCUGUCGCGUCUGCUGUGAAAACCCGGGGCUCAACCCCGGGCUUGCAGUGGAUACGGGCAGACUAGAGUUCGGUAGGGGAGACUGGAAUUCCUGGUGUAGCGGUGAAAUGCGCAGAUAUCAGGAGGAACACCGGUGGCGAAGGCGGCAUCCUGGACCGACACUGACGCUGAGGAGCGAAAGCCAGGGGAGCAAACGGG